Molecule: ribosomal RNA, 443 nt
Filed under: uncultured bacterium
Lineage: Bacteria
Description: partial 16S ribosomal RNA
Rfam family: Bacterial small subunit ribosomal RNA
Source: RNAcentral
CCUACGGGUGGCAGCAGUGGGGAAUAUUGGGCAAUGGGCGCAAGCCUGACCCAGCAACGCCGCGUGAAGGAAGAAGGCUUUCGGGUUUUAAACCUCUUUUUCUAGGGACGAAGCAAGUGUCGGUACUUGAGGAAUAAGCCACGGCCAACUACGUGCCAGCGGCCGUGGUAAUACGUAGGUGGCAAGCGUUAUCCGGAUUUACUGGGUGUAAAGGGUGUGUAGGCGGGAAGGCAAGUCAGAUGUGAAAUCAACGGGCUCAACCUGUGGCCUGCAUUUAACACUGUAGUUCUUGAGUACGGGGGAGGUAGACGGAAUUCGUAGUGUAGCGGUGAAAUGCGUAGAUAUUAGGAGGAACCCCAAUGGCGAAGGCAGUCUGCUGGAGAGCAACUGACGCUGAGGCGCGAAGGCGUGGGGAGCGAACAGGAUUAGAUACCCGAGUAGUC